CAGACCGUGCACAUUUUGGCAAGCCAGCAAUUCUUGCUGUGGCUUUGGCAGUGCAAGUGGAAAACUGUGGAGAGAAUAGGACAUUGCUGAAAGAAAUAAUUGCAUCUGUACUGGGUUAAUAAAUCAGAAACAGACAAACAUUAAAUCUGAACAGUGUCCAGUUCUCUGUGUGCCUGCAUUUUGCUGCAUACUAAUUUUCUCAUUUUUUUGUGAGAAAUGCAUCAAACACAGAUCAAGUUUUGCCUCAGAGGCUGCAUGAAAAUCAAAUCACAUGUGGAUCUUGUUUUAUUUGCUGGAAGCAGACAUCUCCAGACUAUGUUUAGAGCUUCUAGGGGAUGCAGCAGAAGAGGUACAAAUCAAGAACAGUUCUGCCCCUGUGACCUGGAAGCAUUCAGGACAAGAAGAUUAACCUUGUAAGGGUUUAUAGGACGGGCUCCUGAGAAACCAUAGUCAUAGAAGAAUUGAAGAUAUCCAAGCCACACGAUGCAAAGACAGCUCAUCUUUACAAUGAUGCUGUCAACUGGAAAUGAAGAAGGAAGGAGGCAAUGAAGCAAGACUAUUCAGCCACAGCUGAGAACAAAAAAAGUUGGGGUAAAUGCCAGCUACAGCUUUAAAAUGGUAUGAUCCUACUACUGGUAACUGGACCAGAAGAAGCUCUCAUUGCUGAUAAGUACUUAUAUCACCAUAUAUUUAUUACUCAUUCUCUCUCUUCCUUCUGUUAUUAACCUAAAUAUCUGGUAUAUAUCUGUUGAGAUAAAAAGUUACUAAUUACCUAUUAACCUUGAAUAAAGCCUUCUUUGAAAGACAUGUCUUAUGUAAAAGGAGAAAGAAACCAAAAAACUUUUUCCCCUUCAGUCUUCUGCCAUAACCUCUCUGAACUCUCUGAAGACAAUUUCUAUAAAACCAGUUUACUCUGCCAGUGAAUUUCCAUGUAUGUUUGGAUUCUGUGCUGCUUAGUGAGAUGGCUUUUCAGUCAUGAUAGCAACCAUGUAAGCAAAGUCACAUGCAAACAAGGGAUUUCUACUGCCUGUUCACCUCUUGCUGUGGAGCAAUAUCAAGAGGCCUGUUCUGGAAGAAUGAGUGUACAUUGAGUGAUGAUGUGGGGUACCCUUAAGGUAACAGCCUUACAGAUGAUGUGGUCUACUUGAAUCCAUACUAAAAACUGCCCUCUAUAUGUAAGGGGAAAAUCCCUCACAUGCUUAUCAAAACCAGUAAGAAGUCAUAACUUGGUUAAUUGCCACUGGGAUCAAGACAAGAGGUGCACUACCAUGAUCUAAUGCAAGUAUUACAUGAGAGCUGGGUAGCAGACCUAUGAGAUUUAACUCAUCACUGCAUUCUGUGAUGUUUCCUAAAUCUCUGCGUGUCUGAAGUACAGUCUACACUGCAGAUACAGAUUUUGAUGAACCUGUUAUACAACAAAUUAACAUAAAGACUAGAUUUAUGUGGAAGUCCAAAAAGGAGAGAGUACUGCCAGGCACUGCAAUCCAGAGAGUUUGAGGGGGAGGGGAAUCGGGCAUGGAUGUGAAGGGGGAAGUGCAGAGCCACAGAGACCUAAAGUAGGACCAAUAUUUACUUUACCACCUUUAUUGACAUUCAAGAAGAUUGCAAAAUAAAACCACAUUCAUUAAAUUUGCAGAUGAUGCUAAAUUGGAAAACAUUAUACAAGUCAGGAUCGAGAAGUGUAAUGUAAAGCAGCUCAGAGAAAUACAGGCUGAGAAUACCAAAAUGAGAUUCAGCUGGUUAAAAAGAAAGCUAAUGCAUGCCACAAGGGAAAAAUAACUUGGGCUGGGGGAAGCCACAAAUUCAAUAGAAGGCAAAAGCCUCAAGGUAACAGUGGGCAACAGAUGACAUAGGAGCAUUCCCAACAGGAUGGAUGCAAAGGGUAGCACAGUUGUGGGCUGCAAAUGCAGAGGCACCGGCUCAUAGUCACAGAGAUUUAAGCCAUCAGGUUUUAUGUGGGAUAGCAAUUUAGCUCUAAGACAAAUAUACGUGACAACCUCCUAACUCAGAUGUAUUUGUGAGGUGAAAUUUCUACAGAUAGCUUCUGGUGUAUAAAUUGUCUCUGGCAUUUGGGAUACAGAAUCUGAAAUCAGGCAAAGUAGUGUGCACUCAGAGAAAACAACAACACUGUUUCAAGGAUGGUAGAAAGUGAUAAAGGACGCUUCCAUAACCUAACUAUGUAUGACACAGCAAAGGAAAGUCCUACAAAUGCCUGAAAAAAGGGCAGUUAAAUCCUGAAAAAGAAUCACAUGUAGUCCUGUUAUCUUUAAGAUGCAAGAACAAAAAAAUUAAUAUUCACUAGCAUAAACUAGUCAUAAUAUCUGGGAAACCUUGCUUGUGGAAUGUUUUUUGAGUAGGGGUGAUGAGCAAGAUAACUUUGGAGAAGCAGCCCUGCAUUGAUAGGAUGGUGAUGACAGAAAAAACCUUUUCCUUCUUUGAUACCUACAUUAAGUUUAGAAGAUCUGUGUAACAGCUGUGUGUUCUGAUAUUUACUUCUGUGAAGUAAACAGAGAUUCAGGAAAAUAAAAACAAAAUCAAUAAAAGAAGAAGAAACUUCUAUGGAAUCAGCAUCGAAGUACAGGAGCAAUGUUUAAAAGAAUAAAAAAACCACUAAACUAAAAAAAAAACCUAUGAGAUGUUGUCAACUACAACUAAAGACAACCAAUCAUAAUAAUAAAAAUAAAGAUGUUGAAUUGCUUCAGAGUUCAUUCUGGAUGAAAAUCAGGAAGCUGUGGAGAGGAUACACAGGGGAAUGUGAUCAAAGAUGGAUUAAUAUCCUGCAUGCCCAAAGGUUGCAUAUGCCAUCUCACAAUAGAUACAGCAAGAGUGAAAAUGGCCACUGGGGAUAAAAGGAAAUUACUAAAACAGAAGGACAUUCAGAAUUAUAAAUUAUGCUGUAUGAAAAACUGUAUGAUAAAAUCUGGAAGACAAUAUAUUUUCAGGUCAACAACAUGGGUUACUACAGAAUGCUAAAUACAAAAAUAAACAAGAAUGUUUAUGAAAUCCUUUGGUUUCUAACCAAGCUAAUCAGGUACAUGACAAAACAGUAAGAUUUUUUUUUUUUUUCUGGGGCUCUCAAUUUUACUCAGGUUAAGAGUUCCAGUGAAGUUGAACAGUGUAAAAAAAAUUGUAUCCAUGAGUGAGUGUGUUCUUGAUUUUUCUGACAUUAUUUAUGCCUUGCUUAACUAUUUCUGCAUUCAGAACUGAAUGAAAGCACAUCCCAUGUUAUGGAGAAAAUGUCCCCAAGCAAAUCUCAGCUGGUAAAACUUAUAAGCAUUUUGUCUCAAACAAUCUUGGAUGGUAGAUUUGAAAUUUUAAUUUGAAAAUCCAAGCCAGUAGCAUAUCUGCUCUCGGUGGAAUAGGUAUGUGAACCUUGAGGUUGAUCCUGUGCUGUGCAUGUACUUAACUUCAUGCCUGGCAAGUGGUGCCUUUGCCUUCAGCUCACAAGGGAACUCACUGGAGCUCCUGGCGGUGGGUGGAACAGAGCUGAGGAACGUUCCCUGUCAGGCCAGCGUAGGUCCCAGCCCACAGUGAGACCAUGCUGGCCCUCCUGGUCCUCGGGCACAUUUCACUGUAGGGUAGGGCCUUUCCAAAUGCAGUUCACAAUCAAAAGCUGCCUCUGGGGGGAAACAAAUUAAGCUUUUAUGUAUUUUUCAGAUAGUUAGAAGCAGUUCAGGCUUGUUAAACAAUGGAAAGAAUUUCUGUAGAAUUCAUCAAAUAUGAAAUACAUUACAUGAUAAUGAAAACUUAACUGAUUUCUAGAGCUUACUUCAUUUCCCCUACUGUUUUCUCUACACAAUAAGGCAGCAAAGAGCUGCAAGCUACCAUACCUUUUGUAUAUCCUCAGUGAAAUAUUUGCUAAGAUCAGGCAGAAAACCACUGACAUUAAGGGAGCUGCAGGGGUGUCAAUGAGAGCACAAUUAUAAGUCAGUGUGUUACACAGCCAUCUCAGGGGGACUAAUUUGGCCUGCAGGUCUUUAUUGCUGCUGAUGGUAGGCAAAAUGGGGGGAAGCUAAGGCUGACAGUAAAAGCCCACGGUGACUUUGUAGGAGUGGUAGAUACAAAAGCCAUCUUUUCAUUUGUAAGCUGUGCCUGUUUGAUGAAAAGACAAUAAACAUGGAGCUAUUUUUACAAAGUCACUUUUUUUUCAGAAGAGAGGUGAAUUUAGCUAUAUCUCACACAAAACUCCUUGCAAAAUCUCCCAGCUUUCUGCUCCUGCAGGGAAUCUUUCUGAAGCCAGGCUGCAACUUUGAUCUUUCCUGUUAUAGCCAUAAAUCAGGGUCAGUUAUAACUAAGAGCUUUAUAUACCCCACUGCUACUGCACCAGGAUGUGAUUUUAAAUGGUUUCUAGAGAAAAGAUAACUGAGAUUUAUGAUUCAGUAGUUUGAUUACAGCAUCAUCCAAAACUUUAACAGAGAGGUACACAAUGAGACACUGGUCAGGGUAGAAAACACAUAGAAGGAGGUACUGUUAGAGAAAGUUGCAGCAGGACAAGGAAGAAGACAUAGAAACAGGCUGAUGUUCCUCUCCACACACGUGGUACAUGUCAUAUCCAUAUACAUAAAAUAUAUAAAUCCUGAUUGUUCAUCUAGGGGCUUAUGGUAUAGAGACUUUUAGAGCUCAGAAGUAGGGUGCUGAAGCCCAAUAUGCUGCCAUACUCAGCUGUGUGCAAACCUGAACUCAGACUCUGCAUAGAUCUCCUUAAGAUCUCUCUUUCUCUGCUCAGGACUCCCCUGGGAAGAACACUGAAGUAUUUGCUUUGCCUCACAUCAGCUGAUAUGGUAUUUGGAAAUGGGCAGGAGAAAGACAGAAGGUAACAGGAGGAGUCUGCUGGCACAUAAGUGUGCCCUUGGCUAUGUUAUGAAGGACAACCUGUGAAUGUUCCAAGGCAUUUCAGAAAAGUGGCUAGAGAGUCAGAAUCAAAGUUAUUUCAGCUGGAAAGUCAUAAGUUUUGAAAGAUGACCUUGGGCCAGCAAUGCCCCAGUUCAGAAAGAUAUCCCUUUAAAAAGUGGAGGACCUGGAAACUGUAACUUGACAGACUUCCUAUCUAAACCUAUCUUCUUUUCCAUAAUAAGGAAGGGGACAAAGAAUCCCAAGGGCAAGCAUAAUUCAGAGCCAUCAACAACAGAAAGAGAGGUUCUCAUUAUCUUCAAGAGAAUCAAAUGCCUUAGUACACUCUGAGAUUACUAAGAGCUCUCUUAAUCAUUCUACUCUUAUGGAUAAAUCUGUGCACAAAUCUCCAAAUGCAAUUAAUGAUGCCAUGUAAAUAUGACCUCUAUGCAUUAACAUAAUUCAGCAAGGGAGGGACAAGUCCUAAAGAAGGAAGAUGUGAUACUGUUUUUUCAAUAGUUUAAAUUGCUGUUUCUUUUGCUUUCUCUUUUUAAUUUUUUUUAAAUUAUAAAGAUUACCUUUUUUUAUUAAUACUCUUUAUUUUAUGAUUUGGACACAGGAAAAAAUUAAUGUCAUGCUCUCCAUGUAAAAAUGCAGAGGAGUUGUUGGAUAUAAUGACAAAAUAGUGUUUCUUUUUCUUGGGUGUUUUCCUGUGGCAAUACUGGGACACAUUGGAUUGCACUUGGACCUAUAAAAGGAGCUUAAGAAGUAAGAUAAUCCAUUAAAACAGGGACAGCGGGAGGGAGAGGAUGAGAGAAAGAAAAUCCUGCUCAUUCAAAUUUGAAAGUUACUUCUUUCUUUUUGCAGAAUGACACACCAGAAUGAAGAUCAAUCACAGCCUUCUUUACGGGUAGUUUUCCACCUUAAUGAAGUGGGUUCAUCAUGACUUGUUAUGACAAUACUUCAUUUUUAACCACUGUUCCACUCCUUUUUUGACUCUUUUGAUUAAAAGGAUUGUUCUGCAGUGUCCCACGUGAUAACUGUAUUAGUUAGGGUAAGUAGCUGAUCUAUUACCGCAGGAUAAUACAGUUUGAAGGCAGUUUAAUAGGGGCUGGCAGAUUUCAAUAUUAUUAGAGGGUCAUAGAGUGUCUGACAUUUCAAUUUGUUACCAGACCACUCAUAUCACUAGGGCAAUCAUUAAACAUAGACUCUAAUAAGGUUUCUGCUUUGUAGGGUCAUUCAUUAUUGACAAGGAGAAAAGAAAUAAAUACCUUCCCAGGGGCAGCCUCAGUAUGUAAUACAGUAAAAAUUAUCUGAGUCUGGAACCAUAUUUUCCAGAUUUUCUGGCAAAUCAAGCAUUUUCCAACUAAAUCAAAUAAAGGACUACAGGAAAAAGCCAUGAAUACUUAAAUUCUCUCUUUACAUGCUGUCAGAACACUCAUUAUAAUCACAUAUAUAUUUUAAAAAAUUAUAAUUAGGUCAAGUUGGCUUAUUUUACCACUGUGAUUGGAGCUAAUAAUGCACUUGUGUUGUCUUCAGCUUUAUGAGGUCUGUACACCUGGGACAAACUUUGCAUAUUAUAAUUAAUCAUCAUAUAUCAGAUAGCUCUAAUAGCUAUUUAACAGAUGAGCCAUCUUCACCUUUCAACUAGGUAGGCCUGUGAUUUAGCUUGGAAACGAAAGAAAUACAUUCUUCAUAAAGGCUUAUUAAUAUUUUCCUUCUCCGAUCAAUGUUUGGUUUUUUUGGAUUAUGCUUUAAAGUUACUUUAUAAUUUCAGAUUUUCCCCAAAUGACUUUAAAUUCACAUUAAUUUCCCACAUCUUUUAAAAAUUAACUGUGUUGUACUUUAAACAAAAAUUGAGAAGAAGGGAAAAACAGUUUGGAAGAAGGUGAAAGAUAUCAUUAAAUCCACAACUAAAGUAUUUGGACAGAGCUAUUUUAUUCUGGAAAUUUUGUUAGGAGAAAAAUUAAUUUGUGUGAUUUUUUUUUUCUCAGUUUCUUGGGAAUAAGUAUAAAUUACACAGAAAAUAAGGUUGUUAGGAUGCACUACAGCAUUUGGUGAAGAAAGAGCAGUGCUGCACCAAUGGAUACAAGCCAGAAAGAGACUAAUCCUGCAACUGCAUACUGACUUAAGUUGUCCCAUUGGCCUGAUCAGGAUCCAUUCAGAACAACAGAACUUUUAACCUGAUUUUUGAAUCAGAUAGACUGGGCCCAAAGGAGCAGUUCAAGAGAGAAUCAAGCUCAGGAAGAAAUUAUCUAUUUUCAUUUACUGAUGAAACAGAUGAACUGCAGCAUCCAUGGUGAUAGUGAAUUAGUUUAUAAAAUUUCAUCCAGAUUUAAUAAUGUAAGGAAUUAUUAAUAACCCAGGUAAAAAAAGUCUCAAAUUCAAUAAGGUGAUCCUUUCUUUUAAAUUCAUAACAAAAGCCUUAAUUGGAUUAGAAGAGCAACCAGCAGACAAAUAAACUGACAAUAUAAUUUAAUUCAGGUAGUGUAGUGAGAAGGAAUUUUUAGUGCCAUUUGUUUAUUCAUUCCUGGGUACCAGUUUAGUCGAUUCCAACAUGGCAGCUUAUCUCUGGCUGGUCUUUGGAAGUCCCCCAGAAACAACCACUUAAAUCUUAACAGUGCAGUACCUUGGCUCAGUGGAGCAAGUUGUUCUCAUCACAUUUCCCAGCUCCCUGAUCAGGGAAAGUAAUGUUAAGUAAUGGACAUUACUUAAGUCAAGUAAGACAUGCUGAACUAAGAAACUGUUCUGCUUACAAGCUUUCACAAAAUACUGCAGGAGAGGCAGAAAGGGGUGACUGUAGCCAAGAUGGCUUGAAUAUGUGUAGAAAGAUUCUAAAGUGUAAAUUAUUAAGAGAGACUUCCUAGAAUGAAUGGAGUAAAGUGAUUUGGUUAUACAGAGAGAAGCUUAAAGACUUAUCAACAACACCUGAGAUUGUCCAACUUAAAAGCUGAUGACCCUAACAGCAUUCACAUAUGUUGAGGUACUAACGUAAAAUGUGACAAUGCUGUUAAAUAUACCACUGUCUUCUGUAGCCAGUCUAUCACAAGCAUACCUUAUAUUAAACUCAUAUUUCUGCAGAACAUUGUACAUUCUAUCAGAGACUCCUGCAAUAUUAGAAAAUUAAGAAAAUUAUCAUAAUGUAAAUAAGGUAUUUCUUUGGAACAAUAAUUCAUAUUUCAUUUAGUCACUGUUUUCUUCAAAAUAAUUUACUAUACAUCUAACAACUAGGCAACAAUAGUUAUAUAUUAGUUGGGGGGAAAAGAGUUGUAGCCCAGAAUACCCUUACAUUUCCUUACUGCAAGACUACAUUGCUGAAUAUAGCACAUUCAAACUGGUGUGCACCAGACCCCCAGGUGAUUUUUGGCCAACCUACUUUCCAGCCAGUCUGUACUGGCAGCUGGGGUUAUUCCUCACCACAUGCGGGACUUUGCAUUUCUCUUUUCUGUACUUCAGGAGAUUCCUGUUGUCACAUUUCUUUAGCCUGUCUGUGGCCCUCUGAAUGUCAGCACAGACAUCUGGUCUAUCUACCACUCCUCUGAGCUUUGUAUCACCAGCUAAUAUAUCGAAGGGGAACUCUGCUCCAUCACCCAGAUCAUUAAUGAAGCUGUUAAAGAGUACUGAUCCCAAUAGCCACCCCUAGGGUCUCAGACUAGUGACUGUUCUCCAGCUGGACACGUACAGCUGAACACAGUUCUUUGAGCAUGGCAGUCAGCCAGUUUUCAACCCAGCUCACUGUCCAUUUAACCUGCUUUUCUAUAAAGAUGUUAUGGGAGACAGUGCAGAAAGCUUUGCUAAAGUCAAGAUAAAAAACCAAGCGAGUCAUCUCGUAACAGAAAUCUAUCAGGUUAAUCAGGCAUGAUUUCUCCUUCAUAAAUUCAUGCUCAUUAUUCACAAUCAGCUUCUAGUCCUCCAUACAUUUGAAAACAGUUUCUGGGAUUAUAUUUUCCAUCACUUUAGUACAAGAAACUCUAAAAGAUAAAAGAUACAUAUCCACUUGAAACUUACUUGAAAAAUGGAAAAAUGUAUUUACAAAAACAGAGAAAUGCAAAGACAGUAUUAUUAGUCAUUUUGUUGUCCCAUUAGUGGCUAAGAGACUUAUGAACAAGUUUGAGAGCAAAGGCCAAAAAGUGAUUUUGGGAAGCUCCCUGACUGGACUCAGGCUGAAGGGAGCUGCUGUAGGCACAGGAGAUAUAAAAGUUUCUUUCUAGUCAGAAGAGACAGUACAGGUAUAGUCAAAUGAGUUCAGACUUCUCAUUGUGGCACAGAAAGAAGGGCAGGGAGUAGGAGUCAAUUUGGAUUCAUAAUCACCAGGAUUCCAUUGACUUUUCUAGAGGCAGGAUUGGGCCCAUGAGGUUUAAUUGUGUUGUGUUCCUUUACAGAAAUGUAUUAAAUGUGCAACUGUUUUUGCAGUUAGAUUAUCUUGUUUUUCCCAUUUGGUCAUCCAAGAAAUGGUAAUACAGAGCAUUAUCUGUUGAAGUGUGAAUCCAGUUUCUAUGAACACAGAUAAUCUAACAGUAGCAGCCCCCCUCACUGGCGAGAAAACAGUAAUCCAAAGGCACCAUGAAAGGGGUAACUGGCAGAUCUCAGCAGCAGAAAUGAGCACAGCUUGUGCAUUUUAGAAAGAGGAAAGAAUUCUGCAGAAAAAUUAAUAUAAAUUGAUGUGCCUAAUUUAAUUUACACAAAUCAGAAGGAGAAAGAACAAGUAGUUAACAUCUUGGCACUACCUGUCAUCUGCAGCAUGGUUACUGUUACAAAACAUAAGGAAUAUUGGAGACCAUAAAAGCUUUGACAUUAGCAGCUACUAAUUUACCAGCAAAAGCACACUGCUUCAGAGCUGCUAGCUUCAGUUGAAAAUAGCAUCUCCUCAUGCUUGUGUGAUUUGAAUUUAUUUGUUUAGGUGUUUCAGAAAGGGAGUAGGCAUUUUUAUUCAAACGGU
Passer domesticus (house sparrow) is the source of this 9769-nucleotide long non-coding RNA. RefSeq lists it as uncharacterized. Lineage: Eukaryota; Metazoa; Chordata; Aves; Passeriformes; Passeridae. The record is from RefSeq and is a predicted model, not a curated record. The transcript has 4 exons.